AUACGUAGGGUGCGAGCGUUAAUCGGAAUUACUGGGCGUAAAGCGUGCGCAGGCGGUUUUGUAAGACAGAUGUGAAAUCCCCGGGCUUAACCUGGGAACUGCGUUUGUGACUGCAAGGCUAGAGUACGGCAGAGGGGGGUGGAAUUCCACGUGUAGCAGUGAAAUGCGUAGAGAUGUGGAGGAACACCGAUGGCGAAGGCAGCCCCCUGGGCCUGUACUGACGCUCAUGCACGAAAGCGUGGGGAGC
Molecule: ribosomal RNA, 247 nt
Filed under: uncultured bacterium
Lineage: Bacteria
Description: partial 16S ribosomal RNA
Rfam family: Bacterial small subunit ribosomal RNA
Source: RNAcentral